Molecule: non-coding RNA, 1402 nt
Organism: Paramuricea clavata
Lineage: Eukaryota; Metazoa; Cnidaria; Anthozoa; Malacalcyonacea; Plexauridae
Source: the annotation of a GenBank genome assembly
CACCACACUCCUCCACCACACUCCGUCACCAAUUACUACAAACAGUUUAAUUAAGGCCUCAAGCAGUACCCUUUAGUCUACUUUUGUCAUGCCAUGAGUGAUCAUGUGAUCUUCAAGUUUCCUUGGAACGUCAAAUUCAAUGUCACAGACAAAACAAAUAUAUCCAAUACCAGUUGGUGCUGUUGACUCCAAUUCCUGGCAUAAACCACAUUGAAAGUUUGUAUUAUUGCCAUGUUGCCUUGCUAUAUGUUGCACUAAUUUUGUAAAAUUGGAAAAAUGCAUGUUGCAUUUCAUACAAACAUGUUGUCCAGUGACGUCAUCCUUUAAAACAUGUUCUUGUAUAUCUUGUGGCUGAGUAAUUCCUCUAUGACAAGUGUUACACAAUAAAUGUGAUUUCUUGUGCAAUUGUAAACUAUGUCCUCGAGAAAAUUUCUUAUUGCAAACAUCACAUUUAUGAGGUUUGUCACCAGUGUGUGUUCUUUUAUGUCUAAUCAAAGCAUUUGACCGAGAAAAUCCCCUCUUACAAACAUCACAUUCAUAAGGUUUCUCUCCAGUGUGUGUUCUUUUAUGUCUUAUCAAAUCAUCUGACCGAGAAAAUCCCCUCUUACAAGCGUCACAUUCAUAAGGUUUCUCUCUAGUGUGUGUUCUUUUGUGUCUUAUCAAAUCAUCUGACCGAGAAAAUCCCCUCUUACAAACGUCACAUUCAUGAGGUUUCUCACAUUGAUAAUGUUUCUCUCCAGUGUGUGUUCUUUUAUGUGUUAUCAAACCAUCUGACCGAGAAAAUCUCCUCUUACAAAGAUCACAUUCAUAAGGUUUCUGUCCAGUGUGUGUUCUUUCAUGUCUUAACAAUUCAUCUGACCGAGAAAAUCCCCUCUUACAAACAUCACAUUCAUAAGGUUUCUCUCUGGUGUGUGUUCUUUUAUGUCUUAUCAAAUUAUUUGACCGAGAAAAUCCCCUCUUACAAACAUCACAUUCAUAAUGAUUCACUCCAUGUGUCCUUUUAUGUGCUAUUAUCAAAUCGCUCGAGUGAGAAAUUAAAUCCGGCCUUGAUUUUGAAAAUCGUUUCUUGAAAACAUCACAUUCAUAAGGCUUGUGUGUUCUCUCUUCUUUUGCUACGUCCAAGCUGCUCGAUGUUGAAAACAUUUCCCACAAUGAUGCGACAUAUAAAUUUAACAAAUGACAACACGUGUUGACUAGUCAGUAUUGCAGGAACUAAAAAAUCCUAAAGACUAAACACGUUGAAAAGAAUUAAGAUUCACCACUCAGUGUUCACCAUCCAGCAGUAAUUUUCGAUAAAUUUGAAGCAUUUGCUUCGACGAAGGUUCAAAAGAUGAGCAAGUUUGGUUAAUUUCAAAUGCCCUUUCACGUUUCAAAUACAAUCGAUGCUUUGCUUCGGCAGUUU